This 20-nucleotide unclassified non-coding RNA is filed under the name Dictyostelium discoideum. The record is from RNAcentral. Lineage: Eukaryota; Evosea; Eumycetozoa; Dictyosteliales; Dictyosteliaceae.
AUCUACUUCCAAACUUCAAG